GAUGAUACCAAAAUUUGGGGUGAGGUGAGCAUGCUAGUAAGGAGGGAAAGACUACAGCAACACCUGGAGAGGUUACAGGGGUGGGUUAACAAAAACAGGAUGCAUUUUAGUACUGACGAGCGCAGGGUGCUGCACUUGGGCAGUAGAAACCAGCAGUACACUUAUAGAAUGGGAAACUCCUUUCUUGAGAGCAUGGAGGAAGAAAGGGAUCUUGGAGUCAUUAUUGACUCCAAGACGAAUGUGGGCCGACAAUGCGAGGUCACGGUUGGCAGGACUAACCAGACCUUGUCGUACACCCACAGGCACAUCUCAAGUAGGGCCAAGGAGGUGAUCCUCCCCCUCUGCGCAACACUGGUCAGACCACAGCUGGAGUACUGUGUCCAGUUCUGUGCGUCCCACUUCAAGAGGGAUGUGGGCAACAUGGAGAGGGUCCAGAGGAGGGCCACCCACAUGAUCCAGGGACAACAAAGCAGACCCUACAAUGAAAGACUGCGGGACCUGAACCUGUUCAGCCUUCACAAGAGAAGGCUGAGGGGGGACCUGGUGACCAUCUAUAAAUUCACUAGGGGGGACCAGAAGCGUUUGGGAGAGACCUUGUUUCCCCUAGUGCCCCCUGGCAUGACAAGGAAUAAUGGCCACAAGUUGUUGGAGAGUAGGUUUAGAUUAGACAUCUAUAAGAACUACUUCACGGUCAGGGUGGCUAGGAUCUGGAACCAACUUCCAAGGGAAGUGGUGCUGGCUCCUACCUGGCUGAAGUCAUUUGAGCCCAGUUUUCUCCUGCCCAGGCAGGGGAUUGGACUUGAAGAUCUACAAGAUCCCUUCCGAAUGGACUUCUAUGAUUCUAUGAGACCAGGCAGAUUUAGACCUGCUGAGUCCUGUGCAGGCCAACUACUAUACCUCCCACAGCCUAUUAAAGAUGGUUUCCAACAGAAGUUUAUCACUGGCACAGCAUUUGUUGACCUACCUGCAGCACACGAUACUAUCCAACACUGCAUUAUGAUCCAUAAACUGUAUCUUAUGACUGGCAACUUAGAUCUAAACCAAACUAUUCAUAGCCACUUGAAGAACUGGUCUUUCUAUAUGGAAUUAAAUGGCCAGAAAAGUAGCUGACAAUUCCAAAAGAACAGCUUACCAAAAGAAGACAGUGUGCUCGUCCCACUUUUAUUCAACAUUUACAUUAAUGAUCAGCCACUUCCUGCUGAAUGUUAGGUAUUUCAUCUGUGCUGACAACCUUUGGAUUGCCACGCAGCAAAAAAAUGUUGAGGACACAGAAGAUCCUGGAGAGGGCACUGAAUGAGAUUAGAGAUCAGAUUGUUGCUUAAAUAAUUAUCUCAAACCCUACCCUAGUAAAUCCUGAAUCUGUGCUUUCCAUCUGAGAUGGAAUGCAGAAUGACACCUGAAUGUCAUCUGAAGUCAUCAGAGUCUCAAAAAUACCUAGUCUACUUAAGGAUAACACUGGACUGUACACCUAGUUACAAAACACGCAUAUUAAAU
This 1494-nucleotide long non-coding RNA is filed under the name Crocodylus porosus (Australian saltwater crocodile). RNAcentral's name for it is "lncRNA (ENSCPRG00005003946.1)". The record is from RNAcentral. Lineage: Eukaryota; Metazoa; Chordata; Crocodylia; Crocodylidae.